AAGAAAUCAAGUAGUUCCGCAUCAGUGUGUGUCCCCUGUUCUAAUCAUCGGCUUCUGUUCUGGAAAGUUGUGUCAUCUGUUCUGAGCAAUGACGUAUGUUCUGGAAAGACUGUGGGCUGGGAGACGGGAGCUGGCUCUCCUGGGGUGAGGGGAGGGUUCCUAAUAAUGCAAAUGCUGGCUGCGUGGCUGGCUUGUCUGCCUGUCCCCUCGAGCACCACAAUGUGGAGAUGGGACCAUGCGUCCAAGGGUCCCCUCACUGGGCUAUUAACAACAAAAACCGUGAUUGAAUUUCGAGGGUUUGACGGAGCACAGCCCCUUCUGUCUUGAGUCCUGAAGCCGUAGAAAAAUGAACACCAGGAAGAUAAAAUCAUUUGCUGUGGGACCAAUGUGCGAUUUGUCAUCUGGAAGCUGUUUACUCUAAUUCCAGACAAAAUUGUGAAAAGGAAUUGAUCAACCUUAGGGGGUUCUUACAAGGAAAAAACACAUAUGCCUAUGAAGACUUCCCCUUGAACACUUCAGAAUUCCUUGUGGUCUCUCCAUCCUGUUGACAUGAUACUGUUCAGGAUGCAAACGUCUUUAACCUGGAUCUGUGCAACAUCCUUCCAAAUGUUGGCUCUGCCUGCACUUGUGUCUUCCUGCAGUGAUCCAGCCACCAUGAUACAGCCACAGGGCUUCUUUUAAAGAACAAAUCACAUCACAUCAACCCCAAACCCAUCCUGCUUAAUAAAGCUCAUUGCCUCCCAUUGAUGUUGCGAGCAAAUUUAAACUCCUUAGGAUGGCUUACAAGGACCCUUGUUAUCAGACUCCUGCCAACCCUUCCUUCUGCCUCUCACCUCUCCUCCUGGUGUGUUCUCCUCACAUGUGGGCCACCCAUGUGAUGGUUCCUCUGCCUAGAACCAGGACUGCUCCACCCUCACCCCUAUUUCAGGAUCAGUCCCGCUUACUCUUCUGGUGUCAGCUUCAACACUACUUCCUCUGAGAAACCUUUUCCAGUUUUCCAAGCAUGUGCUUGCUAUGUGCUGCCUCUGUACACAUCCAGCGGUGAGAGCUCCAACAGAGCGCUGAGCUCUCAGCACAGCGUAUUAUAAUUGCCACCAAGUGUCAGUGUCCACCUCUAGGUUUCCAGCUCUAGCAGCAUAAAGAUCCUUCUCAUUUGUCUACGUUUCAUCCUGAUGAAAAUGGAGCCUAGGCAGAGAUACUCUAUCAGGGUAGGGGGAAAAGUGAUAACUGUAUGGAAAUAGGGCACUAUGACCCCACAAAAGUAGGAUAAAGAAAGACUAAGCCUCUUGAGAAGAUGAUGAGGAACAGAAUAUUCAUACAGUCUCACAGUCUCAUCCCACAAAUCACUCACUAAUUUCAGAGGGAAAACAUGGCUUCACAAUGGAGAGACCAUGCAAGCACCACCUUCAUCAAGCGAUCAGACUCAGCCACCUCGUUUAUGUGCACCUAGUUAUGUGCAUCCCUGGGUGCACAUAGGCUAUGGCCCCGCCGGAUGAUGCACACUGAAGACCAUGACGUCAUCCAUGGAACGUUGCCAGCAAUAGGUGUCCUGAAUCUGAUCAUGAGGAAACUGUCAGACAAAUCCAGAGGUAUACUGAGUGCUCAUAGGCAUAUUGCUAUGCACUGAGCCACCAUGUAAAAUGUAUGUCCCAUUGGUCAUGGUCAAGAAUGCUUAAAAUUUCCAUUUCUAGAAAGGAAGUCCAUGAGUUUUGUUGAUGAGAUUUCUUGAGCUUCCUCGCUUCUUGCUCUUCCGCUGCCUGGCUACUGGGCCCUGACACCAUUUUGUUAGCUUUCUAGUGUCCUUCCAGUACAUCCCCCUUGUUGCUUCUGUUAAUCUGAGUCUACAGCAAGCCUAGAACUGCGACAAUUACAGUUCCAUGCUUCUAUUUGGUGUUCCCUUCAUCAGAACUCUCUCAACUACUGGUCACGGAAACCAGCUCAAACCAGCUUAGGCACAAAAAGACAAUUUAUUGCCUCAUAUAAUUAAAAAGUCUGGUCAUAUCUACAAAAUAAAUCAUCAGGUUUCUAUUUCUUGUUCCAUCUUUCUGACAUCUAUCUUCACAUGGAAGGGCUAAUGGCUACUAGAAUCGCAAGACUCACAUCCUAUCAGUUGAGUGGCCUGAUGCUGAUUAAUAGAAAACAGCUAUCUCUAUAGAUCUGGCAGAAAGGUCUCAGGGA
Equus caballus (horse) is the source of this 2178-nucleotide long non-coding RNA. The record is from Ensembl. Lineage: Eukaryota; Metazoa; Chordata; Mammalia; Perissodactyla; Equidae.